Molecule: ribosomal RNA, 497 nt
Filed under: uncultured bacterium
Lineage: Bacteria
Description: partial 16S ribosomal RNA
Rfam family: Bacterial small subunit ribosomal RNA
Source: RNAcentral
GAUGAACGCUGGCGGCGUGCCUAAUACAUGCAAGUCGAGCGAACGGACGAGAAGCUUGCUUCUCUGAUGUUAGCGGCGGACGGGUGAGUAACACGUGGAUAACCUACCUAUAAGACUGGGAUAACUUCGGGAAACCGGAGCUAAUACCGGAUGAUAUUUUGAACCGCAUGGUUCAAAAGUGAAAGACGGUCUUGCUGUCACUUAUAGAUGGAUCCGCGCUGCAUUAGCUAGUUGGUAAGGUAACGGCUUACCAAGGCAACGAUGCAUAGCCGACCUGAGAGUGGGAUCGGCCACACUGGAACUGAGACACGGUCCAGACUCCUAAGGGAGGCAGCAGUAGGGAAUCUUCCGCAAUGGGCGAAAGCCUGACGGAGCAACGCCGCGUGAGUGAUGAAGGUCUUCGGAUCGUAAAACUCUGUUAUUAGGGAAGAACAUAUGUGUAAGUAACUGUGCACAUCUUGACGGUACCUAAUCAGAAAGCCACGGCUAACUACGUG